GAUGAAGAACGCAGCGAAAUGCGAUAGGUAAUGUGAAUUGCAGAAUUCAGUGAAUCAUCGAAUCUUUGAACGCACAUUGCGCCCUGUGGUAUUCCGCAGGGCAUGCCUGUUCGAGCGUCAUUUCAACCCUCAAGCUCUGCUUGGUGUUGGGCCCUGCCCGCUGCGGCCGGCCCUAAAGACAGUGGCGGUGCCGCCUGGCCCUGAGCGUAGUACAUCUCUCGCUCCAGUGCCCGGUGGUAGCCUGCCAGAACCCCAACUCUCGUGGUUGACCUCGGAUCAGGUAGGGAUACCCGCUGAACUUAAGCAUAUCAAUAAGCGGAGGA
Molecule: unclassified non-coding RNA, 323 nt
Filed under: soil metagenome
Description: partial contains 5.8S ribosomal RNA, internal transcribed spacer 2, and large subunit ribosomal RNA
Rfam family: 5.8S ribosomal RNA (bases 1-120)
Source: RNAcentral